Girardinichthys multiradiatus is the source of this 842-nucleotide long non-coding RNA. RefSeq lists it as uncharacterized. The transcript is spliced from 3 exons. The record is from RefSeq and is a predicted model, not a curated record. NCBI's taxonomy places the organism in Eukaryota, Metazoa, Chordata, Actinopteri, Cyprinodontiformes, Goodeidae.
UCAAGGCCUGAAUGGAUAGAAUAUAACCACAUGAAAAUGGUCAAUGUUAAUGUUUAGAAAUUUUAAAUAAGAAUUUGCCCAUAUUGUAGACAACCUAAUAUAUGAGCUGUACCUGAAUGCACAGCUCUUGGGAAAAUACCAUCUCAUCAAUGGAGAUUCCUUCUGCUUUCAUCUCAUGAUGUAUGGAGUUUGGGCUGAUUGGGUGCUUCAGUCUGAUCAGCUUCCCUGUUCCUGCAGAAGGAAAGCGUCCCAACAACAUGAGACUGCUACCACCAGGUUUCAUGGUGGGAAUGAUCUGUUCAAGAACCACAUGAAGGCUGCCGGUCAUCUUCUACAUUGCUGUUAUUCAGUGUGUCCUCUGCACAUCCAUCACUGUGUGGUUUGGCUCACUCACAAAACAGGACAGGUCUGGACUAUAGUGAAUAAUUCGGUCGGCAAAGAGGAUCAUCUGGGCUGACCUUUCCUCCAUCCUGGACUUUACAAGUCUAGGGUCAGGAAAAGGGCAGCUAACGUCUCUGCAGAUCUCACACAUCCUGGACACAAACUGUUAACACUUUCACCUUCAGGUCAGCCCCACAGAGCACUAUCUGCUAAAACCAGCCUCCACAGAGACAGCUUCUUCUGCCAGGCUCUUUUUCUGAUGAACACAAUGAAAACAUUGCAGCCUGAGUAGUCAGUUACUGUAAUGUGAAGCAAAAUAAGGAUAUUUCAACCAUCAUAACCUGUAUUUUUUUAUUUCAAUUCAUUAAAAAUGUUUUAUAAUAAUAACGUAUUACUCCCAAAGUGAAAUUAUCUAGUAGAACUGGAAAUAUUUUUAUUAAAAAGGCACAAAGAGAGCAUUA